GAGGCGCUUAUAGCUGGAGGCUUGUUCUGAUGGUGCUUCAGCACCAGAUGAUGAGUAAGAACAUCAGCAGUAACAUCCAAGGCACUGAAUCCUCCAAGUUGAUAGAAGAAAAUAAACCAAGUACAGAGAAGGACACAGAAAACACGGACAAGGAUACUAAGAGCACUGGCACUGACACCUUCCACUCAGACAAGGACACUGCAAGUUUCCAUCAAAAUGGAGGGAGGGAAAAGAAGGACAUUGGCUCUAUUACACAAGAUGGCAGGCGGGAGACGGACAGCGAUUCCCAAGAUGGUGGGAGGGCGCGAAGAAGAGGAUUGCGGCGAUCUCGAAAUGGCGUCGAGGAGGCGGGGCCCCGGGUUUCGCGGGAAAAAUCGACGCGGGAAAAGCGGAGGCGGGCUCUUGUAGUUCCACCCACAGCGCCGCCUCUGCCCCCGUAUACGCGCGCGUGGAGCCCCUCCCCAGACACGCCUUCUUCUACACCCACUUCCGCCCCUCCAGUCUCCUCCCCAGAGCCAUCUCCCUCCCGGAAACCAGGGGGUGCAGUGGGCGGGGCAAGGGCGAAGGCCCAGGUCAACAUCCGCCAAGAUGGCUGCGCCCAUAAGGCCCAGGCCACCGAGGCCUACCCCGCCUGCCGGCACCCUCACUCCGAUUGUCACUGGGUGCCAUACUCCCCGGAGGAGCCAUCUGCCACUCCGGAUAUCUGGAGAGCCUGCCGGGAAGAGGCGGCAUGCGCCAAAGACACGGAGUUUUUACGGGCUUUUCCUGUAUACUAUGACGACGGUAAAGCACCCGAAUGGCGUCCAGUUUCGUACCCCAUGCUGAAAGAUAUGAAGAAGGCUAUUGUGGAGUACGGGUUGGGCGCCCCCUUUACCCUCGGGCUGCUUGAAUCCUUUUUCUUGGCCUACACAUUAAUUCCAUUUGACAUAAGGGCAGUGAUGGGAGGACUGUUAACAACCGUACAGGCCUCAGUUUUUGAGGCGGAGUGGAGAAAGCGAGUAGUGACCUUUGUGAACGACCAAAUGGAGAGGCGAGGUAUCCCCCUACGGCAAGCCAUAGACAUGCUUUAUGGUGUGGGAGAUUACGCUCGUAGAGGGGAUCAAGCACGAUUGGAUCCUAAAUUGCUAAACACAUCUAAAGAAUUGGCAUUAGAGGCCAUAAAGAAGGUGGCCGAUGCUUACGUGCCGACCCCCUCCUUUACAAUGAUUAAUCAGGGCCUGAAAGAACAGUUUACAGAUUUCAUAACUCGGCUGAAAGAGGCGAUUGCCAGGCAAGUUCCUCAAAAAGAAUGCCAAGAAAUUUUAUUUAAUAAAUUGGUCAUCGAAAAGG
RNAcentral lists this long non-coding RNA (1329 nucleotides) under Lepidothrix coronata (blue-crowned manakin). Its description in RNAcentral is "lncRNA (ENSLCOG00000010987.1)". The record is from RNAcentral. Lineage: Eukaryota; Metazoa; Chordata; Aves; Passeriformes; Pipridae.